RNAcentral lists this long non-coding RNA (478 nucleotides) under Mytilus galloprovincialis (Mediterranean mussel). Lineage: Eukaryota; Metazoa; Mollusca; Bivalvia; Mytilida; Mytilidae. The record is from RNAcentral.
AAAACUACUGUUGCUCGUGAUCCGAAGGAUUUGAACGAAUGGUCCAAAAAAGUGGCUAAUGUUUUUUUUAAUUUCCAAACAAAACAAAAAUAAUGAUUUAUAUUCAAUAAUAAUGCACAAAAUCUUAAAUUAUGCUUAAUUGAUAAAGAAAUCCCUGAAACGAAGUGCCACGUUGCUUAGCCGUAUAGAUUAUUUCAUUUCUAGUGUUAUAAAACAUUCAUAUUAAAUAUACGGAAAAACUCAAGUACCAACUUUGUAGCAAAUAUUAAUAAACACUCUAUUUAAUAUUCAUUAGACCAAGUUUUGAAUAUGCAACUGAGGUUUUUUGAUGAUUGUGGGAUAGGAUACGCUGAUAAAUUUGAAAGUUUGCAGCUAGAAGGUGCUAAAUUAGUUAUUUACAAGAACGUAAAGUCUGCAUGGAGAAGUUGGUUGGGAAACUCAACCUGACAGGAAAAGACAAAAUUACAAAUGUUUCAUU